GAUGAACGCUGGCGGCGUGCCUAAUACAUGCAAGUCGAGCGAACAGACGAGGAGCUUGCUCCUCUGACGUUAGCGGCGGACGGGUGAGUAACACGUGGAUAACCUACCUAUAAGACUGGGAUAACUUCGGGAAACCGGAGCUAAUACCGGAUAAUAUAUUGAACCGCAUGGUUCAAUAGUGAAAGACGGUUUUGCUGUCACUUAUAGAUGGAUCCGCGCCGCAUUAGCUAGUUGGUAAGGUAACGGCUUAGCAAGGCAACGAUGCGUAGCCGACCUGAGAGGGUGGUCGGCCACACUGGAACUGAGACACGGUCCAGACUCCUACGGGAGGCAGCAGUAGGGAAUCUUCCGCAAUGGGCGAGAGCCUGACAGAGCAACGCCGCGUGAGUGAUGAAGGUCUUCGGAUCGUAAAACUCUGUUAGUAGGGAAGAACAAAUGUGUAAGUAACUAUGCACGUCUUGACGGUACCGAAUCAAAAAGCCACGGCUAACUACGUG
This 497-nucleotide ribosomal RNA is filed under the name uncultured bacterium. RNAcentral describes it as "partial 16S ribosomal RNA". It matches the Rfam family "Bacterial small subunit ribosomal RNA", at positions 28 to 507 of the family's 1533-position model. The record is from RNAcentral.